This 785-nucleotide ribosomal RNA is filed under the name uncultured Glomus. RNAcentral's name for it is "SSU rRNA". It matches the Rfam family "Eukaryotic small subunit ribosomal RNA", at positions 327 to 1114 of the family's 1831-position model. The record is from RNAcentral. Lineage: Eukaryota; Fungi; Glomeromycota; Glomeromycetes; Glomerales; Glomeraceae.
GGUAGGAUAGAGGCCUACCAUGGUGGUAACGGGUAACGGGGUGUUAGGGCACGACACCGGAGAGGGAGCCUGAGAAACGGCUACCACAUCCAAGGAUGGCAGCAGGCGCGCAAAUUACCCAAUCCCGACACGGGGAGGUAGUGACAAUAAAUAACAAUACGGGGUUCUUUCGGAUCUCGUAAUUGGAAUGAGUACAAUUUAAAUCUCUUAACGAGGAACAAUUGGAGGGCAAGUCUGGUGCCAGCAGCCGCGGUAAUUCCAGCUCCAAUAGCGUAUAUUAAAGUUGUUGCAGUUAAAAAGCUCGUAGUUGAAUUUCGGGACCAAUUUGUUGGUCGUGCCUCGGUACGUACUGGUAUUAUUGGUUUCUACCUUCUGAAGAACCUUGAUGUCAUUAAUUUGGUGUCUUGGGGAAUCAGGACUGUUACUUUGAAAAAAUUAGAGUGUUUAAAGCAAGCAUACGCUUGAAUACAUUAGCAUGGAAUAAUGAAAUAGGACGUUUGAUUCUAUUUUGUUGGUUUCUAGGAUCGACGUAAUGAUUAAUAGGGAUAGUUGGGGGCAUUAGUAUUCAAUUGUCAGAGGUGAAAUUCUUGGAUUUAUUGAAGACUAACUACUGCGAAAGCAUUUGCCAAGGAUGUUUUCAUUAAUCAAGAACGAAAGUUAGGGGAUCGAAGACGAUCAGAUACCGUCGUAGUCUUAACCAUAAACUAUGCCGACUAGGGAUCGGAUGAUGUUAAUUUUUUAAUGACUCAUUCGGCGCCUUACGGGAUACCAAAGUGUUUGGGUUC